This 496-nucleotide ribosomal RNA is filed under the name uncultured bacterium. RNAcentral's name for it is "partial 16S ribosomal RNA". It matches the Rfam family "Bacterial small subunit ribosomal RNA", at positions 29 to 507 of the family's 1533-position model. The record is from RNAcentral.
AUGAACGCUGGCGGCGUGCCUAAUACAUGCAAGUCGAGCGAACGGACGAGAAGCUUGCUUCUCUGAUGUUAGCGGCGGACGGGUGAGUAACACGUGGAUAACCUACCUAUAAGACUGGGAUAACUUCGGGAAACCGGAGCUAAUACCGGAUGAUAUUUUGAACCGCAUGGUUCAAAAGUGGAAGACGGUCUUGCUGUCACUUAUAGAUGGAUCCGCGCUGCAUUAGCUAGUUGGUAAGGUAACGGCUUACCAAGGCAACGAUGCAUAGCCGACCUGAGAGGGUGAUCGGCCACACUGGAACUGAGACACGGUCCAGACUCCUACGGGAGGCAGCAGUAGGGAAUCUUCCGCAAUGGGCGAAAGCCUGACGGAGCAACGCCGCGUGAGUGAUGAAGGUCUUCGGAUCGUAAAACUCUGUUAUUAGGGAAGAACAUAUGUGUAAGUAACUGUGCACAUCUUGACGGUACCUAAUCAGAAAGCCACGGCUAACUACGUG